RNAcentral lists this ribosomal RNA (429 nucleotides) under uncultured bacterium. RNAcentral describes it as "bacterial SSU rRNA". It matches the Rfam family "Bacterial small subunit ribosomal RNA", at positions 29 to 506 of the family's 1533-position model. The record is from RNAcentral.
GCGAACGCUGGCGGCAGGCCUAACACAUGCAAGUCGAGCGCCCAGCAAUGGGAGCGGCAGACGGGUGAGUAACGCGUGGGGAUCUGCCCAAUGGUACGGAAUAACCCAGGGAAACUUGGACUAAUACCGUAUGUGCCCUUCGGGGGAAAGAUUUAUCGCCAUUGGAUGAACCCGCGUCGGAUUAGCUAGUUGGUGAGGUAAAGGCUCACCAAGGCGACGAUCCGUAGCUGGUCUGAGAGGAUGAUCAGCCACACUGGGACUGAGACACGGCCCAGACUCCUACGGGAGGCAGCAGUGGGGAAUAUUGGACAAUGGGCGCAAGCCUGAUCCAGCCAUGCCGCGUGUGUGAUGAAGGCCUUAGGGUUGUAAAGCACUUUCGCCGGUGAAGAUAAUGACGGUAACCGGAGAAGAAGCCCCGGCUAACUUCGU